Molecule: ribosomal RNA, 253 nt
Filed under: uncultured bacterium
Lineage: Bacteria
Description: partial 16S ribosomal RNA
Rfam family: Bacterial small subunit ribosomal RNA
Source: RNAcentral
UACAGAGGGUGCGAGCGUUAAUCGGAAUUACUGGGCGUAAAGCGUGCGUAGACGGUUAUUUAAGUCGGAUGUGAAAGCCCCGGGCUCAACCUGGGAAUUGCAUUCGAGACUGAAUAGCUAGGGUACGGUAGAGGGAAGUGGAAUUUCCGGUGUAGCGGUGAAAUGCGCAGAUAUCGGGAGGAACACCUAUUGCGAAGGCAGCUCGCUGGGACGGUACUGACGCUGAGACGCGAAAGCGUGGGGAGCAAACAGG